GACGAACGCUGGCGGCGUGCUUAACACAUGCAAGUCGAACGGAAAGGCCCUGCUCUUGUGCCUUUCUCGAGUGGCGAACGGGUGUGUAACACGUGAGUAACCUGCCCUUGACUUUCGGAUAACUUCAGGAAACUGGGGCUAAUACCGGAUAGGAGCUCCUGCACCACGGUGGUGGUUGGAAAGUUUCGGCGGUUGGGGAUGGACUCGCGGCUUAUCAGCUUGUUGGUGUGGUAGUGGCUGACCAAGGCUUUGACGGGUAGCCGGCAUGAGAGGGUGACCGGGGUCAUUGGUACUGAGAUAGGGCGCAGUCUGCUACGGGAGGCAGCAGUGGGAAGUAUGGCGCAGCGGGCGGAAGUCUGAUGCAGAGACGUCGCGUGCGGGAUAACCGCUUACGAGUUAUAAACCGCUUUCGCCGGUGAUGAAGCGUGCGUGACGGUAAUGGGUAAGGAAGCAACGGCUAACUACGUG
RNAcentral lists this ribosomal RNA (468 nucleotides) under uncultured bacterium. RNAcentral describes it as "partial 16S ribosomal RNA". It matches the Rfam family "Bacterial small subunit ribosomal RNA", at positions 28 to 507 of the family's 1533-position model. The record is from RNAcentral.